GACGAACGCUGGCGGCGUGCUUAACACACGCAAGUCGAACGGAAAGGCCUCUUUCGGGGGGUACUCGAGUGACGAACGGGUGAGUAACACGUGAGUAACCUGCCCUUGACUUUGGGAUAACUUCAGGAAACUGGGGCUAAUACCGGAUAGGAGCUCCUGCUGCAUGGUGGGGGUUGGAAAGUUUCGGCGGUUGGGGAUGGACUCGCGGCUUAUCAGCUUGUUGGUGGGGUAGUGGCUUACCAAGGCUUUGACGGGUAGCCGGCCUGAGAGGGUGACCGGCCACAUUGGGACUGAGAUACGGCCCAGACUCCUACGGGAGGCAGCAGUGGGGAAUAUUGCACAAUGGGUGGAAGCCUGAUGCAGCAACGCCGUGGGCGGGAGGACGGCCUUCGGGUUGUAAACCGCUUUCGCUCAUGACGAAGCUUUGUGUGACGGUAGUGGGUAAAGAAGCACCGGCUAACUACGUG
This 467-nucleotide ribosomal RNA is filed under the name uncultured bacterium. RNAcentral's name for it is "partial 16S ribosomal RNA". It matches the Rfam family "Bacterial small subunit ribosomal RNA", at positions 28 to 507 of the family's 1533-position model. The record is from RNAcentral.